GAUGAAGAACGUAGCGAAAUGCGAUAAGUAAUGUGAAUUGCAGAAUUCAGUGAAUCAUCGAGUCUUUGAACGCACAUUGCGCCCCCUGGUAUUCCGGGGGGCAUGCCUGUCCGAGCGUCAUUGCUGCCCCCAAGCACGGCUUGUGUGUUGGGCCUCCGUCCUCCUCCCGGGGGACGGGCCCGAAAGGCAGCGGCGGCACCGCGUCCGGUCCUCGAGCGUAUGGGGCUUCGUCACCCGCUCUUGUAGGCCCGGCCGGCGCUUGCCGACACAUCAAUCUUUUUUCCAGGUUGACCUCGGAUCAGGUAGGGAUACCCGCUGAACUUAAGCAUAUCAAUAAGCGGAGGA
Molecule: unclassified non-coding RNA, 345 nt
Filed under: soil metagenome
Description: partial contains 5.8S ribosomal RNA, internal transcribed spacer 2, and large subunit ribosomal RNA
Rfam family: 5.8S ribosomal RNA (bases 1-120)
Source: RNAcentral